Cheilinus undulatus (humphead wrasse) is the source of this 452-nucleotide long non-coding RNA. RefSeq lists it as uncharacterized. The transcript has 3 exons. The record is from RefSeq and is a predicted model, not a curated record. NCBI's taxonomy places the organism in Eukaryota, Metazoa, Chordata, Actinopteri, Labriformes, Labridae.
CAGGGCUUUAUCCUCUCAUCACAGUUUAUAUUCUCUGGUUCUCACAUCAGUCAAACUGAUUUAUUACUGAAUGUUUCAUCUGAUAACCAAGAUUAUGUCAUGUUGUUUUGCUUGGGGAUGUCUCAGUUUUUAAGAACCUAAUUAUCUUACAGCUACGGUGGCCCUGAAGGUUCACUACCAAAAUAUUUCACUAACUCCAAAAUAUUGGAUAUCAUCAAUCAUCUUAUUUCUCAGAGCCACUGAAGUUCAGCUCAGCUGCCAUCACUCAUGGACGGUCCCACCUGCAGAUAAUCACCGAUAAUCAAGACCUCCUCACCUGGUGCUGAACCUUCAGACACCUGUGGACUACAGCUUCUAUGUCUCCGUCUCUCUGCCAGUGCUAUUUCCAACCAGCAGCCAGGACACUCAGCAUCAUUUCCACCAGUGUUGUCAAAUAAACUUCUUUAACUUCA